Molecule: ribosomal RNA, 435 nt
Filed under: uncultured bacterium
Lineage: Bacteria
Description: partial 16S ribosomal RNA
Rfam family: Bacterial small subunit ribosomal RNA
Source: RNAcentral
AACGAACGCUGGCGGCAGGCCUAACACAUGCAAGUCGAGCGGACAUCUUCGGAUGUUAGCGGCGGACGGGUGAGGAACGCGUGGGAACGUGCCCUUUGCUUCGGAAUAGCCUCGGGAAACUGGGAGUAAUACCGGAUGUACCCUUUGGGGGAAAGAUUUAUCGGCAAAGGAUCGGCCCGCGUUGGAUUAGGUAGUUGGUGGGGUAAUGGCCUACCAAGCCGACGAUCCAUAGCUGGUUUGAGAGGAUGAUCAGCCACACUGGGACUGAGACACGGCCCAGACUCCUACGGGAGGCAGCAGUGGGGAAUCUUAGACAAUGGGGGAAACCCUGAUCUAGCCAUGCCGCGUGAGCGAUGAAGGCCUUAGGGUUGUAAAGCUCUUUCACCGGGGAAGAUAAUGACGGUACCCGGAGAAGAAGCCCCGGCUAACUCCGUG